UACGUAGGUGGCAAGCGUUGUCCGGAAUUACUGGGCGUAAAGAGCUCGUAGGUGGUUUGUCGCGUUGUCCGUGAAAACUCACAACUCAAUUGUGGGCGUGCGGGCGAUACGGGCAGACUGGAGUACUGCAGGGGAGACUGGAAUUCCUGGUGUAGCGGUGGAAUGCGCAGAUAUCAGGAGGAACACCGGUGGCGAAGGCGGGUCUCUGGGCAGUAACUGACGCUGAGGAGCGAAAGCGUGGGUAGCGAACAGG
Molecule: ribosomal RNA, 253 nt
Filed under: uncultured bacterium
Lineage: Bacteria
Description: partial 16S ribosomal RNA
Rfam family: Bacterial small subunit ribosomal RNA
Source: RNAcentral